GAUAAAACCACUGUGCCCAGCGUACAGCUCUACUUAAAGGACUCCAGGGUGGAGCUGUUUAUUGUUCUUAGCAUCAUGGUGGUUUUUACUGUGGCGACUGUGGUUUUGCUCAAUGUGUACGCUUUGAUGGUGUUUGGUGUUCCAGUUCAUGGCCGUUCUUCAGACAAUGAGCGUACUAUGCAAAACACCAGAGGGGUGGACCCAGAUGGGAUGGAGGAUUGGUGUGAAAGCCAACUUGAUUCUGCAAACAUCAUUGAUGACGAUCAUGAUGGUCAUGGUGAUGGCGAUAAUGAUGAUGCAGGUGAAGAUUCUGUUGCCACCCCUACACCAAAUCCCCCAAACCAUACUACCUCAGCCCAAACGCAAGCUACUGGUGAAGCAAGUGAAGAUGCUGUAGUUACCGCCACACUAAAUUCUCAAAACAAGACCACAUCUUACCAGCCUGGAGUGACUGGUGAGGCAAGUAAAGAUGCUGUGGUUGCCACCCCAACACCGAAUCUCCAAAACCUGACUACCUCUGCCCACACUGAAGCUACUGAUGAGCCCAGUGAAGAUGAUUCAGUUACUACCCCAGCACCGGUUCCCCCAAACCUGACUACUUUGGCCCAAAAUGAAACUACAGGCAAUAUACUCUGCAAUACUUAAAUAAAUACAAAGCUUUGAGGAUUUUUUUCUGAAUAUUGAGGAGGUUUUUGUGUUUGACAACAUCUGCCUUCACCAAAGCAACUG
Molecule: long non-coding RNA, 729 nt
Organism: Clupea harengus (Atlantic herring)
Lineage: Eukaryota; Metazoa; Chordata; Actinopteri; Clupeiformes; Clupeidae
Source: Ensembl